This 685-nucleotide ribosomal RNA is filed under the name Streptomyces sp. W25. RNAcentral describes it as "bacterial SSU rRNA". It matches the Rfam family "Bacterial small subunit ribosomal RNA", at positions 98 to 797 of the family's 1533-position model. The record is from RNAcentral. Lineage: Bacteria; Bacillati; Actinomycetota; Actinomycetes; Kitasatosporales; Streptomycetaceae.
GCGAACGGGUGAGUAACACGUGGGCAAUCUGCCCUUCACUCUGGGACAAGCCCUGGAAACGGGGUCUAAUACCGGAUAACACUCCUCUGGGCAUCCAGGGGGGUUGAAAGCUCCGGCGGUGAAGGAUGAGCCCGCGGCCUAUCAGCUUGUUGGUGAGGUAGUGGCUCACCAAGGCGACGACGGGUAGCCGGCCUGAGAGGGCGACCGGCCACACUGGGACUGAGACACGGCCCAGACUCCUACGGGAGGCAGCAGUGGGGAAUAUUGCACAAUGGGCGAAAGCCUGAUGCAGCGACGCCGCGUGAGGGAUGACGGCCUUCGGGUUGUAAACCUCUUUCAGCAGGGAAGAAGCGAAAGUGACGGUACCUGCAGAAGAAGCGCCGGCUAACUACGUGCCAGCAGCCGCGGUAAUACGUAGGGCGCAAGCGUUGUCCGGAAUUAUUGGGCGUAAAGAGCUCGUAGGCGGCUUGUCGCGUCGGUUGUGAAAGCCCGGGGCUUAACCCCGGGUCUGCAGUCGAUACGGGCAGGCUAGAGUGUGGUAGGGGAGAUCGGAAUUCCUGGUGUAGCGGUGAAAUGCGCAGAUAUCAGGAGGAACACCGGUGGCGAAGGCGGAUCUCUGGGCCAUUACUGACGCUGAGGAGCGAAAGCGUGGGGAGCGAACAGGAUUAGAUACCCUGGUAGUCCA